CAAGUAUUUCAUGUGCCUUACGUUCGUCGCUUCAUCAAUCCAUAGGUUGUUUCCCUUACAAAGCAUUAUUUGGAGUAAAUAUGAUUAAUCACGGAGAUGAUUACAAGCUCUUAAAAAAAUUGUCCUUGCUGGAGGAGUCUCCAUAUUUAGAAAGAGGUGAUCAAUUAGCUUUGUUGCGAGAAGACAUUAAGAAAUGUAGUAGAGAAGCCUACGAGCGUAACGCCAGACAAUACAAUCUUCGAUCCAAUCCUGUCAUUUAUAAAGAAGGCCAAGAAGUAUUUAAACGGAAUUUCCAUCUUAGUGAUUUCAGUCAGAAUUAUAAUAAAAAGCUAGGACAUCAGUUCUCAAAAUGUCGGAUAAAGAAGAAAAUUGGUAAUUCUUUUUAUCUACUAGAAAAUCUACAAGGUAGAGAAUUAGGAGUGUAUCAUGCGAAAGAUAUUCGAAUCUAAUUCCCAUCUAAUCUGCCUUUGUAUGACUCGUGAGAUUAUCUGGUGGGUGUAAUGGUCGCAAAUAAAAAAAUUGGGCGUAAAAUCUCUUUCUUCUUGAGAUUUUAAAUUUGCCGCGCAAAGUUAGCGAAGACACAAACCAUGGCACGAUAAAGGGACAAUACACCUCUGCAAAUUAAAUUUCCCUCCGUGGUGAAUUGUCUAGCGAAAGAUCGUAGGAGAAGGAGACGAGCUUUGUCACUUUGGCAACGACAGCUCUCAUUCUUUUCUUAUUGACUACGAUCAGAGACGGAUGCAUUCUUGGUUGAUGGUGUUUUUAAUAAAAUAAAUAUAAAACACAUGCAUCACCAGAAAAGAAGAAAUACAUAAUCUGUUAUUAUCAUCAGCAUCCAUCGAUGCUUUUUUGCCUUGAGCAAAAUAAAUACACCAGCUCGUUACGCUUGCUACGUAAAGAUUGUGAAAAUUCGUCUAAGCCGUCAUUAUUUUCUAUUAAAUAAUACGGAUAGACAAAAUUCUACACCUAUAGUGGAUUUGAAUUCCACAAUUCCGGCGCAUGUUAGUCAGCGGAGGCCGACUAUUUCGUGCCGGAAGCCUUUUUAUAUUUCUGGUCUGCCGCCUGCAGAACCAAAAAACAACAACAGUGAAGUGCAGUGCAUCUCUGGGCAGAUCACUCUUGCACCACUGUGCCGAGCCGCGCAAGGCUCUUGUACCAGAAUCGUCACUUCUCUCGUUUGCCGCUUCUAUCGUUCGCCGUCUCCACUCAGCAUCAGCAGCAUCAGCAGCAGUGCAGUGCCAGUGCCAGUGCUAGUGAAGAUGUGUAGUGCAAGUUUGUGAAUAAUAGUAUGACAAAAAUAAGUUUGUUAAAAUUAAAAGGUCAUACAAUAGUUGUACACAGAGGCAAUAGUAAAAGGGGUAAAAGCCCAAAUAAAAAGCAAAAAGAUUUGCAUUUGCCGUCAAUAUAUUAAAACAAUUUAGUUGCCAUACAUAUAAAAUAAUAAGUAACGAAAAAGAUAAAAGUAAAGAGAAAUAUCAAUUGUAAUUUGGCACUUAUUUUUUUUGCGCUAUUUUUUUUGGUUUGCUUUGCUUUGUUGGCCAUUAUUGCCCUAGGCCUUAAAGGGUAUAUCCAACGUGAAACACAAUAAUUUAAAAAAAAAUAUAUAUAAAUAAAUAAAUAAUGCAAAUAUAAUC
Long non-coding RNA from Drosophila sulfurigaster albostrigata, 1634 nucleotides. RefSeq lists it as uncharacterized. Lineage: Eukaryota; Metazoa; Arthropoda; Insecta; Diptera; Drosophilidae. The transcript is spliced from 2 exons. The record is from RefSeq and is a predicted model, not a curated record.